ACCCAGUCUCGUCCGAUCCGCGAAGUUAAGCAACAUUGGGUCAAGUUAGUACUUGGAUGGGUGACCGCCUGGGAAUACUUGAUGCUGUAGGUAA
RNAcentral lists this ribosomal RNA (94 nucleotides) under Acartia pacifica. Lineage: Eukaryota; Metazoa; Arthropoda; Copepoda; Calanoida; Acartiidae. The record is from RNAcentral.